AAGACCCUAUAUAAAAAGAUCAAAGAGUUUGGGUUGUCUUCUCUCUAUUAUUGGUUUUUUUUUUCUUCCUUCCUUUAAUAGUUUUAUUAUUUUCAAGUCCAAAAAUAACCAAUGAGGAACUAAUUUUCUUUUUCAUCUAGAUGUUAUCAUAGCUUUCAUCUCAAUAUAUUCAACGAUUAAAUGCCAUGUGUGCCAUUGAAUAUUGAUGUUUUACAUUGGUCCUAUUUAAGAGAAAUGGUCAUGGUUUUCUUGUACAGCCCUUCUUUCCUCGUUUUUGUUUUUUUUUUUUACAUUAUAUUGCACCAACCGCUAACAACUUCUUUCUCCAACUUGGCCUAGAAUGUUUUCUUUAGACCCUUUAUUUCUUUUGUCUAUUUCUGUGUUCUUGUCCAUGGAUGAUCCAAAUGGUCAUCAUAUUUGAUCCAAAAUAAAGUUUGAUAUUUUGAGAGACAAACACAGAGAGGGAGAGAGAAAUGUCGAAUUCUAUGGGAGUUGGAUUCAUGGCAGUCUUUGCGGUCUCAGGAAGUGUAGUUCUUCUUGUUCAUCAACUCCAUAAGCGCCUGCUUUCGGAUUUCAUGAAAAAGGUUGAAUCUGAAUAUGGUACCAUCUUGUACUCCCAUGGUAAAAACAAGAUAAAGGGAUCUGAGAAAUGUCAAUCAAAGAAGAAGGUCCGAUUUGCAGAUGAUGUUGAAGAACCAUCAUCGAAUAAUGAGGAAUAUCGCAAAAGGAAGUUGCUAAAGUAUAAGCAGGUUUUGGCAAUGAAGUAUGUACAAGGCUCUGGCAAUGGCAAAUAAAUAAAUAAAAGGCUCUAGUAGUGGUGACAACUUAGAGCAUACCAUUCCAGCCAACAGGAAAGCUCUAUGAAAAGGGAUAGUUGAAAAUAAAAAGACCCCCUAUUUGUAAAAUACUAAAAUGUAGUUUUUUUUGUUUUUGUUUUUGUUUUUGUAGGGGUAGAGUUUAUAUUUUAUCUAGUGGUUUUUAAUCUUCUUUAUAUGAUAGAUAGGUGUACAGAGGUGUUGUAAGUAUCAGAAAUUCCAAUAAAGGGCUCUAUUAUCAUCUUCUUCUU
Long non-coding RNA from Quercus robur (English oak), 1066 nucleotides. RefSeq lists it as uncharacterized. The transcript has 2 exons. Lineage: Eukaryota; Viridiplantae; Streptophyta; Magnoliopsida; Fagales; Fagaceae. The record is from RefSeq and is a predicted model, not a curated record.